GCUGGGUGCAGUGGCACACACCUGUAAUUCCAGUGGCUUGGGAGGCUGAGGCAUGAGGAUCGUGAGUUCAAAGCCAGCCUCAGCAAAAGCAAGGCCCUAAGCAACUCAGUGAGAUCCUGCCUCUA
RNAcentral lists this small RNA (125 nucleotides) under Marmota monax (woodchuck). Lineage: Eukaryota; Metazoa; Chordata; Mammalia; Rodentia; Sciuridae. The record is from RNAcentral.